GUCCCGUUAAUUACCCUUGCUUGUCUAUGUAUUUAAGCCCCAGACUGUUCAGUCUUUGUUGUUCCAGUCACCAUUUGUUCACUAAAUGAAGUGAGUUUGAACUGCACCUCCUGUCUUCGCCUUCCUUGGGACCAGCUGUGGUGCCUGCGGCAGGGUGGUCGGCCUUUGGAGAGGUUGAAGAAUAAGAAUCAUCCUUAUCCAGCCCCUUCUGAAACACACCUUGCCUCUCCAGCUCGUCCCACGCCGGGACCCUCCACAUGCCUAACCAAAGGUUCUAAUCACCAAUUUCCUCCUGUGUUUCCCCGUGCUCGAAAAUGGACUUCUAACAGUGCUGACCUGGGGGCCAAAGUUGUGGACCCUGCAUUCUGAUCUGUCAGGUCUGCGCUAAAAUCUACGUUCCUUUUGCAGUCUCCAGUUCCAAGAGCCUUUCCAGUCCUCAGGACAGAAACGCCGGCUGCUCCACAGUCAAGUUUACCAGCCGCUCCAUGGUCAAGCUCGCUGGCUGCUCCACGGUCAAGCCAAUUCACUCCCAAGCCCUAUGAUAACAGGAGCUAUCUCCUUAACAUCAGCCCAAAAGGGAGAAUGAGGAGGAAAAGACUGUUGGCUCUAGCCACUGACCAGAGUCGUGAGAUGGCUUUAGCCCCUGACCAGAAUCAUGAGAUGGCUCUAGCCAUCUAGUCCGCUCCCACUCAAUUCACAAAGCUCAACAAGGCGCCAAACCCUCCUUCAUCUCCUCAGUCUCCAUCGCCUCCGCUGGUCCCUUCCAGCCCUCCUUCAUCUCCUGAGUCUCCUUCGCCUCCACUGGUCCCAUCCAGCCCUCCUUCAUCUCCUCUUCCCACGUCAAGCCCUGGGAGGGCUCUUGUUCCCAUGUCCGGCCCAGAGAGGGCUGUUGUUCCCAUGUCCGGCCCAGAGAGGGCUGUUGUUACCACGUCAUGCCCAGAGAGGUCUUGUGUCCCCAAGUCCAGCCAGGAGCGGGCUUUUGAGCCCAGCCCAGAGCCGGUCCCAGCCAAGGGACUCAGAGUCAAUAAAUUUCUGGUUGGGGGUUAUACGUCUCCGGCUGUAGUGGCCAGGCCAAUUGCCAAGGCCAAGGCCACGGAGGCUGUCCAGCCAUGGCCCUCUGAACUACCUGUUUCGCCAUGGUUUCCUGAACCGCCUGCUCCGCUAUGGCCUCCUGGACUGCCUGUUCUGCUAUGGCCUCCUGAACUGCCUGCUCCGUCAUGGCCUCCUGAACUGCUUGCUCUGCCAUGGGUCCCUGAACUGAUACCACCCUGGAGGCCUCCCGUCCUGUACAAGCCUGUCCCUAGAGGCCUCCAGAGUGCCCACCCCCCUCCCCUCUGGAAGUUAAGUGGCGCGAAACUUGUGUUCCUGUUUUGUGUUUCUCCCCAUGUGCUUCCCGUGACCCAGUUUCUCCAUCUCGAUUUGAUUAGUCAUUUGGUUCAAGUGUGUCCCAUUAAUUCUCAUUUGUCUAUGUAUUUAAGCCCCAGUCUGUUCAGUCUUUGGUGUUCCAGUCACCAUUAUGUUAUGCUGUGUUUUUCCCUUACCAUUCUGCCCAUGUUCUAAGUUUGUUCAUUAAAUGAAGUGAGUUUGAACUGCACCUCCUGUCUUUGCCCUCCUUCCUGUAUCACCAUGACAAUCAUGGUUUACACAAAUAUUAAGCACCACAACUGUUUUCAAGAUUGAUAAGAAUAAUCAUAUUUCUUGAACACCAAAUCAGCAUAUUAGAAGAAUGAUUUGGUUUGCAUAGUCUUAAAAUAUUAAAAAUUUUAAAAUCAAAUAAAAUAGAAAAGUUAUUUUAAAUUAUAAUAAUAUUUUAAAAUUAAAAUAACUGUUUUGCUGUAUUUUUGUGUAAAUAAAUCCACCCUUGGUUAGCAUAACACGUUACUACAAAAAAUGCAAAAGAAAAGAUUUCUGAGACAAUAUUUACACACGAUAUUUUCAAAUGUAAAGGGG
Cyprinus carpio carpio is the source of this 1950-nucleotide long non-coding RNA. The record is from Ensembl. Lineage: Eukaryota; Metazoa; Chordata; Actinopteri; Cypriniformes; Cyprinidae.